RNAcentral lists this ribosomal RNA (1064 nucleotides) under human gut metagenome. RNAcentral describes it as "bacterial LSU rRNA". It matches the Rfam family "Bacterial large subunit ribosomal RNA", at positions 1326 to 2399 of the family's 2925-position model. The record is from RNAcentral.
AAACCCCCUCGCCGAAAGACUAAGGUUUCCUGAUCAACGCUAAUCGGAUCAGGGUUAGUCGGGUCCUAAGGCUCAGCCGAACGGUGAUGCCGAUGGCAGAACAGGUUAAUAUUCCUGUACUACCUUUAGGAGUGACGUGGAGACGGAGGCGUGACAGCGCCGCGAACUGACGGAAUAGUUCGUUGAAGGGUGUAGAUGUUGAUUGCGGCAGGCAAAUCCACCGCAAGAGUCGAACCUGAUAGUAUGGAGCGUUCUUCUGAACAAUCCAAUAGUGCGUGUAAACAUACUCCCAAGAAAAUCCGCUAAACUUAAUCUUAAAGGUACCCGUACCGUAAACGGACACACGUAGUCGGGUUGAAUAUACUAAGGCGCUUGAGUGAAUCACGGUUAAGGAACUAGGCAAAUUGACCCUGUAACUUCGGGAUAAAGGGUCCCCGUCAGUGAUGGCGGGGCGCAGAGAAUAGGUCCAGGCAACUGUUUAACAAAAACACAGGGCUGUGCAAAAUUGAAAGAUCACGUAUACAGCCUGACACCUGCCCGGUGCUGGAAGGUUAAGAGGAGAUGUCAUCGCAAGAGAAGCAUUGAAUUGAAGCCCCAGUAAACGGCGGCCGUAACUAUAACGGUCCUAAGGUAGCGAAAUUCCUUGUCGGGUAAGUUCCGACCUGCACGAAUGGUGUAAUGAUCUGGACGCUGUCUCAACCGUGAGCUCAGUGAAAUUGUAGUAUCGGUGAAGAUGCCGAUUACCCGCGAUGGGACGAAAAGACCCCGUGAACCUUUACUAUAGCUUAACAUUGAAUUUGGGUAAUUGAUGUGUAGGAUAGGCCGGAGACUUUGAAGCAGGUACGCCAGUAUUUGUGGAGUCGCUGUUGAAAUACGGCCCUUUGAUUAUUUGAGUUCUAACUCGUUGUUACGAGGACACUGUUUGGUGGGUAGUUUGACUGGGGUGGUCGCCUCCAAAAGUGUAACGGAGGCUUCUAAAGGUGCCCUCACGCCGAUUGGUAACCGGCGGUAGAGUGUAAUGGCAUAAGGGCGCUUGACUGGGAGACUAACAAGUCGAUCAGGUA